UACGUAGGGUGCUAGCGUUGUUCGGAAUCACUGGGCGUAAAGCGCACGUAGGCGGAUGUGUCAGUCAGGGGUGAAAUCCCGGAGCUCAACUUCGGAACUGCCUUUGAUACAGCACGUCUUGAGUCCGAUAGAGGUGGGUGGAAUUCCUAGUGUAGAGGUGAAAUUCGUAGAUAUUAGGAAGAACACCGGUGGCGAAGGCGGCCCACUGGAUCGGUACUGACGCUGAGGUGCGAAAGCGUGGGGAGCAAACAGG
Molecule: ribosomal RNA, 253 nt
Filed under: uncultured bacterium
Lineage: Bacteria
Description: partial 16S ribosomal RNA
Rfam family: Bacterial small subunit ribosomal RNA
Source: RNAcentral